Molecule: ribosomal RNA, 422 nt
Filed under: uncultured bacterium
Lineage: Bacteria
Description: bacterial SSU rRNA
Rfam family: Bacterial small subunit ribosomal RNA
Source: RNAcentral
AGAAUUUUUCACAAUGGGCGAAAGCCUGAUGGAGCGACGCCGCGUGGGGGAUGAAUGGCUUCGGCCCGUAAACCCCUGUCAUUUGCGAACAAACCUUAUCAUUUAACAGAUGGUGAGCUGAUUGUAGCGAAAGAGGAAUGGACGGAUAACUCUGUGCCAGCAGCCGCGGUAAUACAGAGGUCCCGAGCGUUGUUCGGAUUCACUGGGCGUAAAGGGUGCGUAGGUGGUGAGGCAAGUCGGAUGUGAAAUCUCCGGGCUCAACCCGGAAGUGGCAUUGGAAACUGCCUUGCUUGAGGAUUUGAGGGGGGAUUGGAAUACUUUGUGUAGCAGUGAAAUGCGUAGAUAUCAAGUGGAACACCAGUGGCGAAGGCGAAUCCCUGGAAAAUACCUGACACUGAGGCACGAAAGCUAGGGGAGCAAAC